RNAcentral lists this ribosomal RNA (467 nucleotides) under uncultured bacterium. RNAcentral's name for it is "bacterial SSU rRNA". It matches the Rfam family "Bacterial small subunit ribosomal RNA", at positions 338 to 795 of the family's 1533-position model. The record is from RNAcentral.
CCUACGGGUGGCUGCAGUGGGGAAUAGUCUACAAUGGGGGAAACCCUGAUAGUGCGACGCCGCGUGAACGAUGAAGCUUUUCGGAGCGUAAAGUUCUUUUAUGUAUGAGCAAUGCUUUGUUGUUUAAGAGAUAGCAAAGAGAGAUAUUAGUACAGGAAUAAGCCACGGCUAACUCCGUGCCAGCAGCCGCGGUAAUACGGGGGUGGCAAGCGUUGUCCGGAAUUACUAGGCGUAAAGGGCAGGUAGGCGGAUAUUCAAGUCAGUUGUUUAAGGCACUAGCUCAACUAGUGUACGGCAUUUGAAACUGGAUAUCUAGAAUCAGGUAGAGGUAGAUGGAAUUCCUAGUGUAGCGGUGGAAUGCGCAGAGAUUAGGAGGAACACCAAAUGCGAAGGCAAUCUACUGGGCCAUGAUUGACGCUAAACUGCGAAGGUGUGGGUAUCAAACAGGAUUAGAUACCCCUGUAGUC